Molecule: ribosomal RNA, 459 nt
Filed under: uncultured bacterium
Lineage: Bacteria
Description: partial 16S ribosomal RNA
Rfam family: Bacterial small subunit ribosomal RNA
Source: RNAcentral
CCUACGGGUGGCAGCAGUGAGGAAUAUUGGUCAAUGGCCGAGAGGCUGAACCAGCCAAGUCGCGUGAGGGAAGAAUGUCCUAUGGAUUGUAAACCUCUUUUGUCAGGGAGCAAAGUCACCCGCGUGUGGGGGUUGGAGAGUACCUGAAGAAAAAGCAUCGGCUAACUACGUGCCAGCAGCCGCGGUAAUACGGAGGAUGCGAGCGUUAUCCGGAUUUAGUGGGUUUAAUGGGUGCGUAGGCGGGUGAUCAAGUCAGCGGUAAAAUUGUGGAGCUCAACUCCAUCCAGCCGUUGAAACUGAUGAUCUUGAGUGGGCGAGAAGUAUGCGGAAUGCGUGGUGUAGCGGUGAAAUGCAUAGAUAUCACGCAGAACUCCGAUUGCGAAGGCAGCAUACCGGCGCCCGACUGACGCUGAAGCACGAAAGCGUGGGUAUCGAACAGGAUUAGAUACCCGAGUAGUC